AUGCGAUUUGCUGGCGACUCUGGACGGGAGGCCCUGGCGUGCAGCUUGGAUGGGCUGCGUGCACGGUUCAGAUGGGCCAGAAGCGUCGUGCCGCCGGUCGCCCCUACCUACCCCAGCGUGAGCCCGGCGGCCUUCCUCCACCGCUGGGUCGUCGGGUCUGGUGCGGCCUACCCACCGUCAAGGAUCCCCCCACCCCUUCCUUCCGGCGAGCCCCAUGAUAUCCAUAGAGCCUACGGGCGUCGGAUCCCUGCACCAACCGCCUGGAUCCACCGCACACCCCGCCGCCAUGUCGUGCCGUCGAGACCUCCCAGGUACACCGCGACGCCUCACCCAGAAACCGAUGAACUGCAGGCCACCACCCAUGAAGCCGCCGCGGGAGCACUAGUGAGCUGCUCCACAUUUAGUGAUUGA
Molecule: ribosomal RNA, 411 nt
Filed under: Triticum aestivum (bread wheat)
Lineage: Eukaryota; Viridiplantae; Streptophyta; Magnoliopsida; Poales; Poaceae
Description: partial small subunit ribosomal RNA
Source: RNAcentral